RNAcentral lists this long non-coding RNA (923 nucleotides) under Arabidopsis thaliana (thale cress). RNAcentral's name for it is "long non-coding RNA (ATHA_LNC000415)". The record is from RNAcentral. Lineage: Eukaryota; Viridiplantae; Streptophyta; Magnoliopsida; Brassicales; Brassicaceae.
AAUCAUAUGUCCAUGGCAACAAUCCGCGUGAUCUGACUUCGUUUCUCAGAAAAUUCUUGAGUUCAUUUCUCUCUAUAUAUACCGAUUUACAUAUCGAACAUCAUAGUUUUAAGGUUUUUAAAAAUGUGUAACAUCGUGGUUUUCUUGCUAACUUUGACCUUGUUCUUGUUCUCUGGAUUGUCGAACACAGCAUUUGCCCGAGUGCAAUAUGAACCUUUAAAGCCAAGUAAGUUUUUAUUACGAUUUUACCAAAAAAAAAAAAAAAAAGUUUUUAUUACGAUCAAAUUUUAUAUAUCCAAGUCGAUUUGGUUUUGUUGUAGUUUAAUUUUUUUUCCCGGGUUCUAAAAUAGAAUGAUAAAUGGCUGUUAUUCAAUUUGCUUUGAUACACUUUUUUAGUCUCGAUCCUAUGUUUAGCAAUUAAUAUAAUUUAAUAUAUUUAUUGUUAUUUGAUUUUACGGUCUCUUUUGCAUAUCAAGAAGAAGAAAAAAAAACUGAAUAAUUUUCAUUCUACUCUCUUUUAGUUUUUGUAUUGCUUUUUCGAUAUGGAUCUUAUUCGAUCUGAAUAAUUGUUUCAACUAAUGAAAUUUUUGUCACUUAAGUUUAAAGAUAUAAAAGAUUGAUUGAGCACUGAUUGUUGUUUAAUUUGUUGGGACAGAAUUCGGAGCAAGGGUAUGGGAUCAAAAGAUGAUAAAAAAUAUCAAGAUUGAAGUAGAUGGUAGCUGUUCAAGGCGUGCACCUGGAAGAAGAAGACCACCAAAUAGACCACCAAAACCAUGUACUAAACCCUAGUGACAAUCCUUUAUGUAUGUACAUAUAUAUGUAUAAUUUUAUAAAAAUGACAUCAAGUACUAUAUUAGAUUCACAUAAAUGAUCAUAUUUUUAUUGAUUCUUUGUAUCUAACAUCAUCACAUAAUGCAAGAAGA